UCGGGAAUUUUGGGCAAUGGGCGAAAGCCUGACCCAGCAACGCCGCGUGAAGGAUGAAGUAUUUCGGUAUGUAAACUUCGAAAGAAUAGGAAGAAUAAAUGACGGUACUAUUUAUAAGGUCCGGCUAACUACGUGCCAGCAGCCGCGGUAAGACGUAGGAUGCAAGCGUUGUCCGGAUUUAUUGGGCGUAAAGAGUUCGUAGGCGGUUAUUUAAGUCUGAUGUUAAAUACUGUGGCCCAACCACAGAACUGCAUUGGAUACUGGAUGACUUGAGUGCGGUAGAGGCAAGUGGAAUUCCCAGUGUAGCGGUGAAAUGCGUAGAUAUUGGGAAGAACACCAGUGGCGUAAGCGACUUGCUGGCCCGUAACUGACGCUGAGGAACGAAAGCCAGGGGAGCGAAUGGGAUUAGAUACCCGUGUAGUCCCUGAGCGGGCUGGCAAGGCGCAU
RNAcentral lists this ribosomal RNA (447 nucleotides) under uncultured bacterium. RNAcentral describes it as "bacterial SSU rRNA". It matches the Rfam family "Bacterial small subunit ribosomal RNA", at positions 355 to 825 of the family's 1533-position model. The record is from RNAcentral.